RNAcentral lists this non-coding RNA (236 nucleotides) under Thermoactinomyces vulgaris. RNAcentral's name for it is "T-box sequence". It matches the Rfam family "T-box leader". Rfam says of the family: Uncharged tRNA acts as the effector for transcription antitermination of genes in the T-box leader family. T-boxes are found upstream of many aminoacyl-tRNA synthetase genes and some amino acid biosynthetic genes usually in Gram-positive bacteria. Lineage: Bacteria; Bacillati; Bacillota; Bacilli; Caryophanales; Thermoactinomycetaceae. The record is from RNAcentral.
UGAGCUUCUUUGAAGGGGAAGAGUAGUUAGUGGAUGCUAUCGCCAGAGAGCUGGAUCAGGUGAAAGCCAGCAUAGCCGAAGCUAAUGAACAUGGCCCUGGAGAAUUCUUUCUGAAAUGCUGAUCAGAGUAGGAAAGAACGUGAACCCGCGUUAGGGGUUUUGAAUGAGGGCAUCGCCAUGCUUGUUAGGCGAUGCUGAAAUUGGGUGGUACCGCGUGAAAUAAUCUCGCCCCAACU